GUUGGGUUAAGUUCCGCAACGAGCGCAACCCUCAUCCUUAGUUACCAUCAGGUAAUGCUGGGGACUUUAAGGAAACUGCCAGUGAUAAACUGGAGGAAGGUGGGGAUGAUGUCAAGUCAUCAUGGCCCUUAUGGAGUGGGCUACACACGUGCUACAAUGGUGGCUACAAUGGGCUGCAAAGUCGCGAGGCUAAGCUAAUCCCUUAAAAGCCAUCUCAGUUCGGAUUGUACUCUGCAACUCGAGUGCAUGAAGUUGGAAUCGCUAGUAAUCGUGGAUCAGCACGCCACGGUGAAUACGUUCUCGGGUCUUGUACACACUGCCCGUCA
This 326-nucleotide ribosomal RNA is filed under the name uncultured Wolbachia sp. RNAcentral's name for it is "bacterial SSU rRNA". It matches the Rfam family "Bacterial small subunit ribosomal RNA", at positions 1074 to 1399 of the family's 1533-position model. Lineage: Bacteria; Pseudomonadati; Pseudomonadota; Alphaproteobacteria; Rickettsiales; Anaplasmataceae. The record is from RNAcentral.